This 470-nucleotide ribosomal RNA is filed under the name uncultured bacterium. Its description in RNAcentral is "partial 16S ribosomal RNA". It matches the Rfam family "Bacterial small subunit ribosomal RNA", at positions 29 to 506 of the family's 1533-position model. The record is from RNAcentral.
ACGCACGCUGGCGGCGUGCUUAACACAUGCAAGUCGCACGAUGAACCCGGAGCUUGCUCUGGGGGAUUAGUGGCGAACGGGUGAGUAACACGUGAGUAACCUGCCCUGGACUCUGGGAUAAGCGUUGGAAACGACGUCUAAUACCGGAUAGGACCUUGGAUCGCAUGAUCUGGGGUGGAAAGUUUUUUCGGUCUGGGAUGGACUCGCGGCCUAUCAGCUUGUUGGUGAGGUAAUGGCUCACCAAGGCGUCGACGGGUAGCCGGCCUGAGAGGGUGACCGGCCACACUGGGACUGAGACACGGCCCAGACUCCUACGGGAGGCAGCAGUGGGGAAUAUUGCACAAUGGGCGAAAGCCUGAUGCAGCAACGCCGCGUGCGGGAUGACGGCCUUCGGGUUGUAAACCGCUUUUAGUAGGGAAGAAGGGCUUCGGCUUGACGGUACCUGCAGAAAAAGGACCGGCUAACUACGU